Molecule: long non-coding RNA, 387 nt
Filed under: Sarcophilus harrisii (Tasmanian devil)
Lineage: Eukaryota; Metazoa; Chordata; Mammalia; Dasyuromorphia; Dasyuridae
Description: lncRNA (ENSSHAG00000028052.1)
Source: RNAcentral
AGGAAAUCUCCCCUGGAUGCCAAGGGAAAUGGACCAGAAAGCCUGACGCCUUGAGACCCUGGGAGGUCCAGAGUGUGUGUGAGAAUUUGGAGCAGAGGACAGAUGAGGUGGUGGAUAGAAAGUUGGAAUCAGGUUCAUAUCCUGCUGGUGACUAACUCUGUGAGGAAGAGACAAAACCAAUGGAUCCUCAGGUGGCAUAUAUGAUACGGAAUAUCACUGGCUUUUGGAUACUAUUACAUAUGUAUUGUUCAUUCACGUUUUUCAAAAUUAGAAAAAGACUAAAGAAAAACGCUUUUAUGUGGCACAUGCAUGGGAUCCUGUCAGUGACUUAUUCAAUGGAAGUGGGUGCUUGUAUUUGUUAUUUGUGGACAAAGCACAGUUGUCCAG